Molecule: ribosomal RNA, 403 nt
Filed under: uncultured bacterium
Lineage: Bacteria
Description: partial 16S ribosomal RNA
Rfam family: Bacterial small subunit ribosomal RNA
Source: RNAcentral
AUCCACCUCUCCCAGCCCGCGUAACAGACAGAAGUCUCGUGAGCGGCGGACGGGUGAGUAAUGUAUGGGGACUGCCCGAUAGAGGGGGAUAACUACUGGAACCUGUGGCUAAUACCGCAUACUAUCUGAUAACCCAUCUGGGCUUAGCUAGUCGGUGGGGUAAAGGCUCACCUAGGCGACGAUCACUAGCUGGUCCGAGAGGAUGAUCGGCCACACUGGAACGUGGACACGGCCCAGACUCCUACGGUGGCAGCAGUGGGGAAUAUUGGACAAGGGGCGCAAGCCUGAGUCAGCCAUGCCACGUGUAUGAAGAAGGCCUUAGGGUUGUAAAGUACUUUCAGCUGUGAGGCGGUAUCUGCAGAAGAAGCAACGGCUAACUCCGUGCCAGCCGCCGCGGUAAUAC